AACCAUAGAAACCUGCGGAGUACCUGCGGAGGGAUCAUUAACACUCCAAUCUUUAAAAGAGACUCCUUUUCUCUCUUUACCUUUAAAAGUUUAGAGGGGAGGGACUCUUUUAAAAACCCCCUCUUUUUCUCUCUAAAUGGGAGAAUAAAGAGUUUUAAGCCUAAAAAUCUCUUUUUUGGGCUCUUUGUCUUAUUAUAGAGGUAUACCUGAUUGAGAUGGGCGACCACCUCAAUAAUGGUA
RNAcentral lists this unclassified non-coding RNA (240 nucleotides) under soil metagenome. RNAcentral's name for it is "partial contains 5.8S ribosomal RNA, internal transcribed spacer 2, and large subunit ribosomal RNA". The record is from RNAcentral.